RNAcentral lists this ribosomal RNA (482 nucleotides) under uncultured bacterium. RNAcentral's name for it is "partial 16S ribosomal RNA". It matches the Rfam family "Bacterial small subunit ribosomal RNA", at positions 30 to 507 of the family's 1533-position model. The record is from RNAcentral.
AUUGAACGCUGGCGGCAUGCCUUACACAUGCAAGUCGAACGGUAACGGGCCUUCGGGUGCCGACGAGUGGCGAACGGGUGUGUAAUACAUCGGAACGUGCCCGAUCGUGGGGGAUAACGAGGCGAAAGCUUUGCUAAUACCCCAUACGAUCUACGGAUGAAAGCAGGGGACCGCAAGGCCUUGCGCGGACGGAGCGGCCGAUGGCAGAUUAUGUAGUUGGUGGGAUAAAAGCUUACCAAGCCGACGAUCUGUAGCUGGUCUGAGAGGAUGAUCCGCCACACUGGGACUGAGACACGGCCCAGACUCCGACGGGAGGCAGCAGUGGGGAAUUUUGGACAAUGGGCGCAAGCCUGAUCCAGCCAUGCCGCGUGCAGGAUGAAGGCCUUCGGGUUGUAAACUGCUUUUGUACGGAACGAAAAGCCUUCUUUUAAUACAGGAGGGUCAUGACGGUACCGGAAGAAUAAGCACCGGCUAACUACGUG